AGAUAAAAAUUUAUGAUUUAAAAAAUUUAUUUUAAAUUUAAUUUACAUGUAAAUUUUUGUAUGAAUUUUAUUGUAUUUUAAAAAUAUAAUAAAUAAUUUAACAGUAAUUAAAAUUAAAAAUUUAAGAAAUUAAGAUUUAGAAAUAUAAAAAUUAAAUAACAAAUUUUGUGCCAGCAGUUGCGGUUAUACAAAAAUUUAAAUAAAUUAUAUUAAUAAAAAUAAAUAAUUAUAGUAAAAUAAAUUAAAUUUAGAAUUAUUAAGUGAAAUUUUAAUUUUAUAAAAAUUUAUAUAUUAAUUAUGAAUUUAAAAAUUUUAUUAAUAAACUAGGAUUAGAUACCCUAUUAUAAAAAAUUAAUUAAAAAUAUUAAAAUAGUAAAUAAUUAUUUAUUAAAACUUAAAUAAUUUGGCGGUAUUUUAGUUCAUUUAGAGGAAUCUGUCUAUUAAUUGAUAAUCCACGAAUAAUUAUAUUUAAUUUAAAAUUUUAUAUAUCGUUGUUAAAAAAAUAUUUUAUAAAAAGAAUAAUAUUUUAAAAUUUAAAAUUAAAACUAAUUCAGAUCAAGAUGUAGAUAAUAAUUAAAUUUAAGAUGGAUUACAAUAUAAUUAUAUAAAAAUGGAAAAUAAUUUUGAAAUAAUUAUUAGAAAGUGGAUUUAAAUGUAAUUUUAAAUAAUUUUUUAAAAUGAUUGAAAAUUAAAAUAUGUACAUAUUGCCCGUCACUUUCAUUUAAAAAUUGAAAUAAGUCGUAACAAAGUAGGGGUACUGGAAAGUGUUCCUAGAAAGA
Molecule: non-coding RNA, 779 nt
Filed under: Aporia crataegi
Lineage: Eukaryota; Metazoa; Arthropoda; Insecta; Lepidoptera; Pieridae
Source: RNAcentral